GGCAAUUCUUCGCUGAAGUCAUCAUGAGCUUUUUCCAACUCCUGAUGAAAAGGAAGGAACUCAUUCCCUUGGUGGUGUUCAUGACUGUGGCGGCGGGUGGAGCCUCAUCUUUCGCUGUGUAUUCUCUUUGGAAAACCGAUGUGAUCCUUGAUCGAAAAAAAAAUCCAGAACCUUGGGAAACUGUGGACCCUACUGUACCUCAAAAGGUCUCGGCUCCUGCAUACUGCAAGCUGGGUGCCUUCCUUCUACAGAACCCAUGCCCCCUUGCAAGGAAACCAUGGAAUUUCCCCAGGAGUCUUCGACAACUCCAGGCCACAGGAAGGUCACAAAUGGUCAGAAAAGGAAUGAAUUUGAAGGAGGAAGAACCAGCCCUGCCCACGUUGUCUGGGGCCCCUCCCAAGGGGACAGGAAAGCUCCACAAACAGGACCUGGAACAUCCAGGGAGCGUCUGGGCUGCAGGCCUUCCUGGCGGCCACGCCUUACCGAAAGGAGUCCUGACUCAGAGCUGCUGUGCCGUCCCUUCUCCUGUCCCUGCCUGGAAGAGGCCUAUCAGGUUGACCAAGCUUUGCUCCCACCUGUGGAUGAGAAGGGCAGGUGGCCGAGAGUGGGUGUGGAGGAGGAAGACUGGAUGCCAAUGAUCCUGAUCUCACUCUGUCACCAAGGCUGGAGUGCAGCAGCAGAAUUUCAGCUCACUGCAACCUCGACUUGCUGGGUUCAAGGGAUCUCCCAAGUAGCUGGGACUACAGGUGCACACCAUCAUGCCUGGCUAAUUUUUUGUAGGGAUGGGGUUUUACCAUGCUGCCCAGGCUGGUCUUGAACUUCUGAGUUCAAGCGAUCCUCCCUCCUGAGCCUCCUAAAGUGCUGGGAUUACAGGUUUAAAAAAUAUCCUGGACUUUGGAAAAUAUUCUUAUAUAAAGAAGCAAAAAGAGGAUGGAAUAGACUUGUGCUAACACUGAAACUCCAGUCAAGUUGUAAACUGAAAAAGAACGUGUUGAAACAAGGAAUUGCCCCAUAGCCUUCACAGGUGAGUAUGAUAGAUUAAUGAAUGGAAGUCCA
RNAcentral lists this long non-coding RNA (1056 nucleotides) under Homo sapiens (human). RNAcentral's name for it is "long non-coding RNA NONHSAT170737.1". Lineage: Eukaryota; Metazoa; Chordata; Mammalia; Primates; Hominidae. The record is from RNAcentral.